GAGAUUUCCUCCUCCCAGGCAGCCGCCUUGGGGUGGAGAACCACCUCCAUACCAGCACCAUCUCCAAGGAAGAAGGGGGGCCAAGGGCUGUGGACGCCGCCGUGGCCGCUAUCUCCUCUCAGAGCUGCACCUCUCCAUCAACAUCUUGCUCACCAUGGCCAUGUGUGGGUAGUCUCCCUCGGGGCUGAGGUCUUCUAUGUGUAGCUAUGUGGUCAUCUCUCUCUCCCAUGAUGUGAUCUUGAUUGUGAUCAUAGGCUAUGUUAAUCUAGGGUGAUCUCAUGAUGUUUCCCCUUCUUCCAUGUAUUGGAUUGAUGUACUUACUUGAUCUUAUCUAGUAUAAUCCGCGAGACCAUGG
RNAcentral lists this long non-coding RNA (355 nucleotides) under Hordeum vulgare. Its description in RNAcentral is "long non-coding RNA (HVUL_LNC018375)". The record is from RNAcentral. Lineage: Eukaryota; Viridiplantae; Streptophyta; Magnoliopsida; Poales; Poaceae.